Molecule: ribosomal RNA, 497 nt
Filed under: uncultured bacterium
Lineage: Bacteria
Description: partial 16S ribosomal RNA
Rfam family: Bacterial small subunit ribosomal RNA
Source: RNAcentral
GAUGAACGCUGGCGGCGUGCCUAAUACAUGCCAGUCGAGCGAACAGACGAGGAGCUUGCUCCUCUGACGUUAGCGGCGGACGGGUGAGUAACACGUGGAUAACCUACCUAUAAGACUGGGAUAACUUCGGGAAACCGGAGCUAAUACCGGAUAAUAUAUUGCACCGCAUGGUUCAAUAGUGAAAGACGGUUUUGCUGUCACUUAUAGAUGGAUCCGCGCCGCAUUAGCUAGUUGGUAAGGUAACGGCUUACCAAGGCAACGAUGCGUAGCCGACCUGAGAGAGUGAUCGGCCACACUGGAAGUGAGACACGGUCCAUACUCCUGCGGGAGGCAGCAGUAGGGAAUCUUCCGCAAUGGGCGAAAGCCUGACGGAGCAACGCCGCGUGAGUUAUGAAGGUCUUCGGAUCGUAAAACUCUGUUAUUAGGGAAGAACAAAUGUGUAAGUAACUAUGCACGUCUUGACGGUACCUAAUCAGAAAGCCACGGCUAACUACGUG